AUCCAGACUCCUACGGGAGGCAGCAGUGGGGGAUAUUGCACAAUGGGCGCAAGCCUGAUGCAGCGACGCCGCGUGAGCGAAGAAGUAUUUCGGUAUGUAAAGCUCUAUCAGCAGGGAAGAAAAUGACGGUACCUGACUAAGAAGCCCCGGCUAACUACGUGCCAGCAGCCGCGGUAAUACGUAGGGGGCAAGCGUUAUCCGGAUUUACUGGGUGUAAAGGGAGCGUAGACGGUUCUGCAAGCCAGAUGUGAAAGCCCGGGGCUCAACCCCGGGACUGCAUUUGGAACUGUAAGGCUAGAGUGUCGGAGAGGCAGGCGGAAUUCCUAGUGUAGCGGUGAAAUGCGUAGAUAUUAGGAGGAACACCGGUGGCGAAGGCGGCCUGCUGGACUGCAACUGACGUUGAGGCCCGAAAGCGUGGGGAGCAAACAGGAUUAGAUACCCUAGUA
This 446-nucleotide ribosomal RNA is filed under the name uncultured bacterium. Its description in RNAcentral is "bacterial SSU rRNA". It matches the Rfam family "Bacterial small subunit ribosomal RNA", at positions 329 to 792 of the family's 1533-position model. The record is from RNAcentral.